AUUAGAUACAAAACCAAUGCCCUUCGGGGCUCUUUGGUGAUUCAUGAUAACUAUACGAAUCGCACGGCCUUGCGCCGGCGAUGGUUCAUUCAAAUUUCUUCCCUAUCAACUUUCGAUGUUUGGGUAUUGGCCAAACAUGGUUGCAACGGGUAACGGAGGGUUAGGGCUCGACCCCGGAGAAGGAGCCUGAGAAACGGCUACUACAUCCAAGGAAGGCAGCAGGCGCGCAAAUUACCCAAUCCCGACUCGGGGAGGUAGUGACAAUAAAUACUGAUACAGGGCCCUUUCGGGCCUUGUAAUUGGAAUGAGUACAAUUUAAAUCCCUUAACGAGGAACAAUUGGAGGGCAAGUCUGGUGCCAGCAGCCGCGGUAAUUCCAGCUCCAAUAGCGUAUAUUAAAGUUGUUGUGGUUAAAAAGCUCGUAGUUGAACCUUGGGCCUGGCUGGCCGGUCCGCCUCACCGCGUGCACUGGUCCGGCCGGGCCUUUCCCUCUGUGGAACCCCAUACCCUUCACUGGGCGUGGCGGGGAAACAGGACAUUUACUUUGAAAAAAUUAGAGUGCUCCAGGCAGGCCUAUGCUCGAAUACAUUAGCAUGGAAUAAUAAAAUAGGACGCGCGGUUCUAUUUUGUUGGUUUAUAGGACCGCCGUAAUGAUUAAUAGGGACAGUCGGGGGCAUCAGUAUUCAACUGUCAGAGGUGAAAUUCUUGGAUCAGUUGAAGACUAACUACUGCGAAAGCAUUUGCCAAGGAUGUUUUCAUUAAUCAGGAACGAAAGUUAGGGGAUCGAAGACGAUCAGAUACCGUCGUAGUCUUAACCAUAAACUAUGCCGACUAGGGAUCGGACGGUGUUAUUCAUGACCCGUUCGGCACCUUACGAGAAAUCAAAGUGCUUGGGCUCCAGGGGGAGUAUGGUCGCAAGGCUGAAACUUAAAGAAAUUGACGGAAGGGCACCACCAGGGGUGGAGCCUGCGGCUUAAUUUGACUCAACACGGGGAAACUCACCAGGUCCAGACACAAUAAGGAUUGACAGAUUGAGAGCUCUUUCUUGAUUUUGUGGGUGGUGGUGCAUGGCCGUUCUUAGUUGGUGGGGUGACUUGU
RNAcentral lists this ribosomal RNA (1097 nucleotides) under Sarocladium sp. RNAcentral's name for it is "SSU rRNA". It matches the Rfam family "Eukaryotic small subunit ribosomal RNA", at positions 209 to 1314 of the family's 1831-position model. Lineage: Eukaryota; Fungi; Ascomycota; Sordariomycetes; Hypocreales; Sarocladiaceae. The record is from RNAcentral.